UUCGCCCUUAGAGUUUGAUCCUGGCUCAGGACGAACGCUGGCGGCGUGCUUAACCCAUGCGAGUCGAACGGAGGUUACCAGGAAUCUUGCGAAUUGUAACCUUAGUGGCGGACGGGUGAGUAACGCGUGGAUAACCUGCCUGACAGACCGGGACAACACCGGGAAACUGGUGCUAAUACCGGAUACGCUCAAGAGUGCCCAUGCACACUUGAGGAAAGGAGCAAUCCGCUGACAGAUGGGUCCGCGUCCCAUUAGCUAGUUGGAGGUGUAAAGGACCACCAAGGCGACGAUGGGUAGCCGGCCUGAGAGGGUGGACGGCCACACUGGAACUGAGACACGGUCCAGACUCCUACGGGAGGCAGCAGUGGGGAAUCUUCCGCAAUGGGCGAAAGCCUGACGGAGCAACGCCGCGUGAGUGAUUAAGGCCUUCGGGUUGUAAAACUCUGUCAUCAGGGAAGAAAAUAAUGACGGUACCUGAGGAGGAAGCCCCGGCUAACUACGUGCCAGCAGCCGCGGUAAAACGUAGGGGGCGAGCGUUGUCCGGAAUUACUGGGCGUAAAGGGCGCGUAGGCGGUUGUCCAAGUCAGAGGUGAAAACUCUGGGCUCAACUCAGAGCGUGCCUCUGAAACUGGGCGACUUGAGGGCAGGAGAGGGGAGUGGAAUUCCCAGUGUAGCGGUGAAAUGCGUAGAUAUUGGGAGGAACACCAGUGGCGAAGGCGACUCUCUGGCCUGUUUCUGACGCUGAGGCGCGAAAGCGUGGGGAGCGAACGGGAUUAGAUACCCCGGUAGUCCACGCCGUAAACGAUGGGUGCUAGGUGUAGGAGGUAUCGACCCCUUGUGUGCCGUAGCUAACGCAAUAAGCACCCCGCCUGGGGAGUACGGCCGCAAGGUUGAAACUCAAAGGAAUUGACGGGGGCCCGCACAAGCGGUGGAGCAUGUGGUUUAAUUAGAAGCAACGCGAAGAACCUUCCCAAGACUUGACAUCCCGUGACAGCUGUUGAAAGGCAGUUUCCCUUCGGGGCAGGGAGACAGGUGGUGCAUGGUUGUCGUCAGCUCGUGUCGUGAGAUGUUGGGUUAAGUCCCGCAACGAGCGCAACCCUUAUCCUUAGUUACCAGCGCGUUAUGGCGGGGACUCUAGGGAGACCGCCGGGGACGACUCGGAGGAAGGUGGGGACGACGUCAAAUCAUCAUGCCCCUUAUGUCUUGGGCUACACACGUGCUACAAUGGCCGCAACAGAGGGAGGCGAAGGUGCAAGCCGGAGCAAAACCCUAAAAAGCGGUCCCAGUUCGGAUUGUGGGCUGCAACCCGCCCACAUGAAGUCGGAGUUGCUAGUAAUCGCGAAUCAGCAUGUCGCGGUGAAUGCGUUCCCGGGCCUUGCACACACCGCCCGUCA
RNAcentral lists this ribosomal RNA (1394 nucleotides) under uncultured bacterium. Its description in RNAcentral is "16S ribosomal RNA". It matches the Rfam family "Bacterial small subunit ribosomal RNA". The record is from RNAcentral.